GAUGUCGCACUGCAACUUUGGGGCAGUUUUUGAGACCUGUGCCCCAUCUCACCUGUGCUUGGUAGGCAAGGGUGACAAUCUUCUAACCGCUGAUUUAAAGGGAAAAUACCUGAGCUGGUUUUCAUGCACCUUGCAAAUGGCUGCCCGCACCUCCCCGGUUCCUUUUCAUUCUCCAUCUUUUUGAAGCCAAGGAUAUUAAUAACAUCAAUACACUAGGACCUGGGGAAGCCUUUGCAUAGCACUCUGGCCUAUCAGGAGUCACAGUGGGACUUCAGAUAUCUGCUAGUGCAACCUGAGUAGUGAAUGCAGGCGAUGAGGGACAAUCCUCAAUUUACGCAUUGCAGUACUUGGAGGAAAAUCCUCAAUUUACGCAUUGCAGUACUUGGAGGAAAUGGAUCCGCCAGUGGCGGAUCCAGGGGGGGGGCAACGAGGCAAUUGCCCCCCCCCGAGAAUACACACGGUCUCCCUCUCCCCUGCCAUGUGCAAUGUGCCUGCGGACCGGAGGGGAGAUCACAGAUCUCCCUCCCCAGUCCGCAGGCACUGUGCUGGCGGCUGGUGGGGGAGGGAGGGAGUGAGAGAGAGGACCCGGAAGCUCAGGCUGCAGCUCCUCCGGGUCCUCCUCUCGCGAGAUUUGGAGCGUUGCCGCGGUUACCACGGCAACGCUCCAAAUCUCACGAGAGUGAACUCUAGUCCGGGAGCGUGGGUUAGAGUUCACUCUCCCCACUGGAACCACCAAUGAAUCCCCCACCGGACCACCAGGGAAAUGUCCC
Non-coding RNA from Pelobates cultripes (western spadefoot toad), 770 nucleotides. Lineage: Eukaryota; Metazoa; Chordata; Amphibia; Anura; Pelobatidae. The record is from the annotation of a GenBank genome assembly.